GAGGUAGUGACAAUAAAUCACAAUACGGAACUUUUAGUUUUGCAAUUGGAUUGAGAACAAUGUACAAAUGUUAUCGAUAAACAAUUGGAGGGCAAGUCUGGUGCCAGCAGCCGCGGUAAUUCCAGCUCCAAUAGCGUAUAUUAACGUUGUUGCAGUUAAAAAGCUCGUAGUUGAAAUGUGGGAUGAAGUAUAUAAUGAAUUUCUAAUUCAAUUCUAUAUUGAUUCCCCUCUCCAAUUUAUUAUUAUGGGUAUUAAUUUAUGUGUGAUAAGAAUUGGUCAUUUACUGUGAGAAAAUUAGAGUGUUCAAAGCAGGCAUUUGCUUGAAUAGAUUAGCAUGGAAUAAUACUAAAAGGCUUUUAUGGUCGAUUUAAUUGGUUUGUUCAUAAAAGCAAGAUUAAAAGGAACAGUUGGGGGUAUUCAUAUUCAAUAGUUAGAGGUGAAAUUCUCGGAUUUAUGGAAGAUGAACAAGUGCGAAAGCA
RNAcentral lists this ribosomal RNA (479 nucleotides) under Blastocystis sp. 130.2. RNAcentral describes it as "SSU rRNA". It matches the Rfam family "Eukaryotic small subunit ribosomal RNA", at positions 461 to 953 of the family's 1831-position model. Lineage: Eukaryota; Bigyra; Opalinata; Blastocystidae. The record is from RNAcentral.